Molecule: long non-coding RNA, 1782 nt
Organism: Salmo trutta (river trout)
Lineage: Eukaryota; Metazoa; Chordata; Actinopteri; Salmoniformes; Salmonidae
Source: Ensembl
AUGUCUACGCUCCUCCUCUCCUCUUUCUCUCCUUCUCUAUUCUGUCAUCUUCAUCUGCUGCUUCUCUGUCUCUGUCUGCCUCUCUGUCUCUGUCUGCCUCUCUGUCUCUGUCUGCCUCUCUGUCUCUGUCUGCCUCUCUGUCUCUGUCUGCCUCUCUGUCUCUGUCUGCCUCUCUGUCUCUGUCUGCCUCUCUGUCUCUGUCUGCCUCUCUGUCUCUGUCUGCCUCUCUGUCUCUGUCUGCCUCUCUGUCUCUGUCUGCCUCUCUGUCUCUGUCUGCCUCUCUGUCUCUGUCUGCCUCUCUGUCUCUGUCUGCCUCUCUGUCUCUGUCUGCCUCUCUGUCUCUGUCUGCCUCUGUCUCUGUCUGCCUCUGUCUGCCUCUGUCUGCCUCUGUCUGCCUCUCUGUCUCUGUCUGCCUCUGUCUCUGUCUGCCUCUCUGUCUCUGUCUGCCUCUCUGUCUCUGUCUGCCUCUCUGUCUCUGUCUGCCUCUCUGUCUGCCUCUCUGUCUGCCUCUCUGUCUCUGUCUGCCUCUCUGUCUCUGUCUCUGUCUGUCUGCCUCUCUGUCUCUGUCUGUCUGCCUCUCUGUCUCUGUCUGUCUGCCUCUCUGUCUCUGUCUGCCUCUCUGUCUCUGUCUCUGUCUGUCUGCCUCUCUGUCUCUGCCUGUCUCUCUCUCUCUGUCUGUCUGCCUGUCUCUCUGUCUCUGUCUGUCUGCCUGCCUCUCUGUCUCUGUCUGCCUCUCUGUCUCUGUCUGCCUCUCUGUCUCUGUCUGCCUCUCUGUCUCUGUCUGCCUCUGUCUCUGUCUGCCUCUGUCUGCCUCUGUCUGCCUCUGUCUGCCUCUCUGUCUCUGUCUGCCUCUGUCUCUGUCUGCCUCUCUGUCUCUGUCUGCCUCUCUGUCUCUGUCUGCCUCUCUGUCUGCCUCUCUGUCUGCCUCUCUGUCUCUGUCUGCCUCUCUGUCUCUGUCUCUGUCUGUCUGCCUCUCUGUCUCUGUCUGUCUGCCUCUCUGUCUCUGUCUGUCUGCCUCUCUGUCUCUGUCUGCCUCUCUGUCUCUGUCUCUGUCUGUCUGCCUCUCUGUCUCUGCCUGUCUCUCUCUCUCUGUCUGUCUGCCUGUCUCUCUGUCUCUGUCUGUCUGCCUGCCUCUCUGUCUCUGUCUGCCUGCCUCUCUGUCUCUGUCUGUCUGCCUCUCUGUCUCUGUCUGUCUGCCUCUCUGUCUCUGUCUGUCUGCCUCUCUGUCUCUGUCUGUCUGCCUCUCUGUCUCUGUCUGUCUGCCUGCCUCUCUGUCUCUGCCUGUCUCUCUCUCUCUGUCUGUCUGCCUGCCUCUCUGUCUCUGUCUGUCUGCCUGCCUCUCUGUCUCUGUCUGUCUGCCUGCCUCUCUGUCUCUGUCUGUCUGCCUGCCUCUCUGUCUCUGUCUGUCUGCCUGCCUCUCUGUCUGUCUGCCUGCCUCUCUGUCUCUGUCUGUCUGCCUGCCUCUCUGUCUCUGUCUGUCUGCCUCUCUGUCUCUGUCUGUCUGCCUCUCUGUCUCUGUCUGUCUGUCUGCCUCUCUGUCUCUGUCUGUCUGCCUGCCUCUCUGUCUCUGUCUGUCUGCCUGUCUCUCUGUCUCUGUCUGUCUGCCUGUCUCUCUGUCUCUGUCUGUCUGCCUGUCUCUCUGUCUCUGUCUGUCUGCCUCUGUCUGUCUGCCUCUGUCUGUCUGCCUCUGUCUGUCUGCCUCUCUGUCUCUGUCUGUCUGCCUGUCUCUCUGUCUGCCUCUCUGUCUCUCUACCUCUGUCUCUCUACCUCCUCUUCUCUUAG